Molecule: non-coding RNA, 767 nt
Filed under: Aquarius paludum
Lineage: Eukaryota; Metazoa; Arthropoda; Insecta; Hemiptera; Gerridae
Source: RNAcentral
CCGUAUUCUUUUUAAUGAAUUUAAAGUUUGAUUCUUUCUUUAAGAUUUGGAUUUAGAAUUAUUUUAUAUGUAAGAUUUUUCUUUUUUUCUAAAUGAGUUUCUAUUCAGUAUUUAAUUUUGGUUUUUAUUGAGAUAUAAAAUCAGAAUUUUUAUUAAUAACUGACAAAAAUUGUGCCAGCCGUCGCGGUUAUACAAUUAGUUAAAUCAAAUCUUUUUGAUUUAAUAUUAAUUUUGUUUUUUAUAAUUUUAGUUUUAAUUAUUAGGUGAAAUUUUAAUUAAUUAUAUUAUUAUAGGUGAAUGACUUAUAUAUGAAAAUUAUUAAUAAACUAGGAUUAGAUACCCUAUUAUUAUAAUUGUAAAUUUUUCUUAAUAUUAAUAGUUAUGUCCUUUAAAUUAAAAGAAUUUGGCGGUUAUUUAAUCUUUCUAGAGGAACCUGCCCUGUAAUUGAUAAUCCACGAUUGAUUUUACUUUAAUUUUGCUUAUAUAUCGCUGUCAUUGAAUGUUUUAUAAGAUUAUUUUCUCUUGUUUUUAUGAAUAUUAUGUUAGGUCAAGAUGUAGCUAUAUUAAAGAAGAGGUGGGUUACAUUUAUUUUAUUAAUGGAUUGAAAUUUGGAAUAUUUUUCAUUAAAUUGGAUUUAGGUGUAAUUUUUAUAAAAUAAUAAUUUUGAUUUUAGUUCUAAAUAAUGCACACAUCGCCCGUCACUCCCAUUAUGAGUUGGGAUAAGUCGUAACAAAGUAGGCCUACCGGAAGGUGGGCCUGGUUAGUUC